This 104-nucleotide long non-coding RNA is filed under the name Sarcophilus harrisii (Tasmanian devil). Its description in RNAcentral is "lncRNA (ENSSHAG00000026427.1)". The record is from RNAcentral. Lineage: Eukaryota; Metazoa; Chordata; Mammalia; Dasyuromorphia; Dasyuridae.
UCAAAACUCAAGAGGCGUAAACUGCAAUACCUAAAAGGAGCACACGGGGGCGUCCAAAACACAUGAAGAAGGAUUAGAUGGAAGUAAAAGAGGCUCUAGAGUGC